CCUACGGGAGGCAGCAGUGAGGAAUAUUGGUCAAUGGACGCAAGUCUGAACCAGCCAUGCCGCGUGCAGGAAGACGGCUCUAUGAGUUGUAAACUGCUUUUGUACGAGGGUAAACGCAGAUACGCGUAUCUGUCUGAAAGUAUCGUACGAAUAAGAAUCGGCUAACUCCGUGCCAGCAGCCGCGGUACUACGGAGGAUUCAAGCGUUAUCCGGAUUUAUUGGGUUUAAAGGGUGCGUAGGCGGUCGGAUAAGUUAGAGGUGAAAUCCCCAGGCUCAACUUCGGAAUUGCCUCUGAUACUGGUCGGCUUGAGAGUAGUAGAGGUAGGCGGAAUGUAUGGUGUAGCGGUGAAAUGCUUAGAGAUCAUACAGAACACCGAUUGCGAAGGCAGCUUACCAAGCUACUACUGACGUUGAGGUACGAAAGCGUGGGGAGCAAACAGGAUUAGAUACCCGUGUAGUC
RNAcentral lists this ribosomal RNA (460 nucleotides) under uncultured bacterium. RNAcentral's name for it is "partial 16S ribosomal RNA". It matches the Rfam family "Bacterial small subunit ribosomal RNA", at positions 338 to 795 of the family's 1533-position model. The record is from RNAcentral.